UCUUUAAGUUAUUAUGUUCGUUGUUUAAUAUUUAGUUUUGGCUCUAACAUUGUUUGCACUAAUUUUACGCAGAUGACAAUCAAAAUUCUGAAGAUCAUCAACUCGAUGGUAUUUUGUGGGGUUUGACAUUUGGAGCAGCUUCUGCAAUAGCUUUCAAGACCAUUGGUGCUCUAUUUCCUGGACGAACUGCUAAAACUGAUGAAAAUAAGAAGGAGAAAGUUACUCAAGUUAUUAUACCUGCUAUUAAUAUUAAUGUGCCUCCCAAGUUAAGCGAACAAUUGAAACUCCAGCACACCGUUGCACCUGCCAGUAAAGCUGAUGAUACAUCAAGAAAUUCUCAAACUACUUCUGCAACUACUCCUAAAGCCACGAGUCGUAAUCUGUCAUGUGGGGAACUGAUAGACUUAUUCACUGAUUGCAAAGAGUCGUGGCAUGAGAAACGAUGUGACUCCUAUACUAAGAUUAUGAAGAAAUUUUGCAACGGAUCAGUAACUGCAGCUGCUGGCCCUUCCCCAUCCGAUAUUGGCUCCACUCUUCUUCUGGGAUCCGCCUUUGGAUGCUUGAACAAGCUGCGGCAUUCGUCGUCAGACAGAGAUAAAAUUGCCUGCUUGGAAAAAUACAGCAAAUUGGUGCAAAUGACCCGAUGAUCUAUCUGAAAGAGAAGUCCAAAAGCAACUCAUGAUUUAGUGAUUAAUAUUAUAUAUGGUUUUGAUCAGUACGUAGUUUAAUUUACCCGCUAAGGGUUUAUACUUUUGUGACGUUUUUUUCGAUUCUAUUGUACUUUAGGAUGUUCUAUUUAAUUGGUUUGUGGAAUAUCUCUUCUCACAAAUUUUAGUGUUUGUUCCAAAAUGAUGUAGUUGUAGUAUUUAUAUUAAAACGUACUAGUAUUAAUUU
This is a long non-coding RNA of Lycium ferocissimum, 894 nucleotides long. RefSeq lists it as uncharacterized. The record is from RefSeq and is a predicted model, not a curated record. The transcript is spliced from 5 exons. NCBI's taxonomy places the organism in Eukaryota, Viridiplantae, Streptophyta, Magnoliopsida, Solanales, Solanaceae.